RNAcentral lists this unclassified non-coding RNA (349 nucleotides) under soil metagenome. Its description in RNAcentral is "partial contains 5.8S ribosomal RNA, internal transcribed spacer 2, and large subunit ribosomal RNA". The stretch from base 1 to 120 matches the Rfam family "5.8S ribosomal RNA", at positions 35 to 154 of the family's 154-position model. The record is from RNAcentral.
GAUGAAGAACGUAGCGAAAUGCGAUAAGUAAUGUGAAUUGCAGAAUUCAGUGAAUCAUCGAAUCUUCGAACGCACAUUGCGCCCGCCAGUAUUCUGGCGGGCAUGCCUGUCCGAGCGUCAUUUCAACCCUCGAACCCCUCCGGGGGGUCGGCGUUGGGGAUCGGCCCCUCACCGGGCCGCCCCCGAAAUCCAGUGGCGGUCUCGCCGCAGCCUCUCCUGCGCAGUAGUUUGCACACUCGCACCGGGAGCGCGGCGCGGCCACAGCCGUAAAACACCCCAAACUCUGAAAUGUUGACCUCGGAUCAGGUAGGAAUACCCGCUGAACUUAAGCAUAUCAAUAAGCGGAGGA